AUUGAACGCUGGCGGCAUGCCUUACACAUGCAAGUCGAGCGGCAGCAGGGAGCUUGGGCUUGGAUUCAGCGGCGGACGGGUGAGUAAUGCAUAGGAACCUGCCUGGUCGUGGGGGAUAACGCCCGGAAAGGGGUGCUAAUACCGCAUACGUCCUGAGGGGGAAAGCGGGGGAUCGUCAGACCUCGCGCGAUUGGAUUGGCCGAGGUCGGAUUAGCUAGUUGGUGGGGUAAAGGCCUACCAAGGCGACGAUCCGUAGCUGGUCUGAGAGGAUGAUCAGCCACACUGGAACUGAGACACGGCCCAGACUCCUACGGGAGGCAGCAGUGGGGAAUUUUGGACAAUGGGCGCAAGCCUGAUCCAGCCAUGCCGCGUGUGUGAAGAAGGUCUUCGGAUUGUAAAGCUCUUUCGGUAGGGAGGAAGCGGUGGGAGUUAAUAUCGUGCUGUUUUGACGGUACCUGCAGAAGAAGCACCGGCUAACUACGUG
RNAcentral lists this ribosomal RNA (484 nucleotides) under uncultured bacterium. Its description in RNAcentral is "partial 16S ribosomal RNA". It matches the Rfam family "Bacterial small subunit ribosomal RNA", at positions 28 to 507 of the family's 1533-position model. The record is from RNAcentral.